This 517-nucleotide long non-coding RNA is filed under the name Vulpes vulpes (red fox). RNAcentral describes it as "lncRNA (ENSVVUG00000009114.1)". The record is from RNAcentral. Lineage: Eukaryota; Metazoa; Chordata; Mammalia; Carnivora; Canidae.
GUGUGCAACAUGAUGGAUCAGUUAUAUAUACACACACACAUACGUACGUGUGUGUGUGUGUGCGUGUGUGUGAAACCACCUCACAGAUGAGUAUAUAGAACUUUCCAACAUUCCCAGUGAUUUCUCUCUUUCUCCUUCCUGGUCCCUAUCCUGCUCACUGAGGUAACCACUACUCUAACUUCUAACAUCAUUGAUUGUUUUUGUCAAUUCUUGAAUUUCAUAUGAAUCAAAUGACAUAUUAUCCAGUUAUACUCUUUCAUGUCUGGAUUUUUCCCUGCUUAACAUGAAGUCUAAGAGAUUCACUCAGGUUGCUAAGGAGAUGUUUCUUCUAUGUCACUAUAGUUACCCAAUUGACUCUGCACACCUUAUUGAAAAGAUCAUCUGUUCCCAAGCUGUCAUCUUUCUUACGAACACCAAAAUGCUCCAAAGGAUAUCUGCUCUGCUUGUCUUCCCGCAUGAGAGAGUGCAGAUGUUCCCAAAAGCAUCUUUGCAGGAUUUACUUGAAGCAGGAUGCUGA